Molecule: transfer RNA, 72 nt
Filed under: Marmota marmota marmota (Alpine marmot)
Lineage: Eukaryota; Metazoa; Chordata; Mammalia; Rodentia; Sciuridae
Also listed under: 2 other names
Rfam family: tRNA
About the family: Transfer RNA (tRNA) molecules are approximately 80 nucleotides in length. Their secondary structure includes four short double-helical elements and three loops (D, anti-codon, and T loops).
Source: Rfam by way of RNAcentral
AGGGAUGUGGCACAGUGGUAGAGUGCUUGCCUAGUAGGCAUGAGGCCCUGGGUUCAACUUCUAGAAAUUCUA